RNAcentral lists this ribosomal RNA (253 nucleotides) under uncultured bacterium. RNAcentral describes it as "partial 16S ribosomal RNA". It matches the Rfam family "Bacterial small subunit ribosomal RNA", at positions 524 to 776 of the family's 1533-position model. The record is from RNAcentral.
UACGUAGGGGGCGAGCGUUGUCCGGAUUUAUUGGGCGUAAAGAGCGUGUAGGCGGCCAGGUGGGUCCGUUGUGAAAACUCGAGGCUCAACCUCGAGACGCCGGUGGAAACCAUCUAGCUAGAGUCCGGAAGAGGAGAGUGGAAUUCCUGGUGUAGCGGUGAAAUGCGCAGAUAUCAGGAAGAACACCCGUGGCGAAGGCGGCUCUCUGGGACGUGACUGACGCUGAGACGCGAAAGCGUGGGGAGCGAACAGG